RNAcentral lists this ribosomal RNA (2237 nucleotides) under human gut metagenome. RNAcentral describes it as "bacterial LSU rRNA". It matches the Rfam family "Bacterial large subunit ribosomal RNA", at positions 519 to 2841 of the family's 2925-position model. The record is from RNAcentral.
AAGGACCCCGGGAGGGGAGUGAAAGAGAACCUGAAACCUUGUGCCUACAAGCACAUAGAGCACAUCAACGUGUGAUAUGGUACUUUUUGUAGAACGGUCCGGCGAGCGAUUGUAUGUUGCGAGCUUAAGGUCUUAAGGACUGGAGGCGUAGCGAGAGCGAGUCUGAACAGGGCGUUCAGUAACAUGCAAUGGGCCCGAAACCGGGUGACCUACCCAUGAUCAGGCUGAAGUGAAAGUAAAAUUUCAUGGAGGGCCGAACCGACCUCCGUUGAAAAGGCGGCGGAUGAAUUGUGGGUAGCGGAGAAAUUCCAAUCGAACUCGGAGAUAGCUGGUUCUCCCCGAAAUAGCUUUAGGGCUAGCCUCAUAUUAGAUACCCGGAGGUAAAGCACUGAAUGGCCUAGCGCCCGAGAGGGUAGCGAAGCCUAUCAAACUAAGAAUGCCGGAGUAUUGAUGUAUGGGAGUCAGACAGUGUGAGAUAAAUCUCAUUGUCAAAAGGGAAACAGCCCAGAUCUACAGCUAAGGUCCCAAAUUGUAUCUAAGUGGAAAACGAUGUGGAAAUACGCAGACAACCAGGAUGUUGGCUCAGAAGCAGCCACUCAUUUAAAGAGUGCGUAAUAGCUCACUGGUCGAGCGUCUCUGCGCGGAAAAUUUAACGGGGCUAAGAUACAAACCGAAGCUUAGGCUGCAUCGUAAGAUGCGGGGUAGGGGAGCGUUGUGUAAGCGGAGAAACAGUAGCGUAAGCGGCUGUGGAGUUUACAGAAGUGAGAAUGCCGGAAUGAGUAGCGCGAAUGUGGUGAGAAUCCACAUGGCCGGAAACCUCAGGUUUUUGGAGGAAGGUUCGUCCGCUCCAAGUUAGGCGGGAGCUAAGGUGAGGCCGAAAGGCGUAGCCGAUGCACAGACGGUAGAGAUUCCGUCCCCACCGAAAGAUUUAAGCACAGGGACACUUUUAGAAGGUCGGAGCCAGGUGUUGGUUCUGGUAGUGAUCGAGGGAAAUUUAGUACCGAAGUCCGGCUGGAUAAGAGGCGAGAAAAGCUGUGUGUAUAUCUAAGGUGCCCGUACCGCAAACCGACACAGGUAGGUAGGAAGAAGAUUCUAAGGCCAACGGGAGAAGGGUUGUUAAGGAACUCGGCAAAUUGACCCCGUAACUUCGGGAGAAGGGGUGCUCCAGAGAUGGAGCCGCAGAGAAUCGGCCCAAGCAACUGUUUACCAAAAACACAGGUUUGUGCUAAAUCGAAAGAUGACGUAUACGAGCUGACGCCUGCCCGGUGCUGGAAGGUUAAAAGGAGAUGUGCAAGCAUUGAAUUGAAGCCCCAGUGAACGGCGGCCGUAACUAUAACGGUCCUAAGGUAGCGAAAUUCCUUGUCAGGUAAGUUCUGACCCGCAUGAAAGGCGUAAUGAUUUGGGCACUGUCUCAACAGCCCGCCCGGCGAAAUUGUAGUACCGGUGAAGAUGCCGGUUACCCGCGACAAGACGGAAAGACCCCAUGGAGCUUUACUGUAGCCUGAUAUUGGGUUUCGGUGUUGCAUGCACAGGAUAGAUGGGACGCUGGGAAAGAGUCGCUUUGGCGUUUCUGGAGCGGACGUUGGGAUACCAUCCUUGCGACAUUGGAAUUCUAACCUGCGCCUCUGAAUCGAGGCGGGGGACAUUGUCAGGUGGGCAGUUUGACUGGGGCGGUCGCCUCCUAAAAAGUAGCGGAGGCGUUCAAAGGUUCGUUCGAUCUGGACGGAAACCAGAUGAAUGAGUGCAAACGCAUAAACGAGCCUGACUGCGAGACUGACGGGUCGAGCAGAGACGAAAGUCGGAGUUAGUGAUCCGGUGGUAUGUGAGUGGAAAUGCCAUCGCUCAACGGAUAAAAGCUACCCUGGGGAUAACAGGCUGAUCUCCCCCAAGAGUCCACAUCGACGGGGAGGUUUGGCACCUCGAUGUCGGCUCAUCGCAUCCUGGGGCUGAAUUCGGUCCCAAGGGUUUGGCUGUUCGCCAAUUAAAGCGGUACGCGAGCUGGGUUCAGAACGUCGUGAGACAGUUCGGUCCCUAUCUGUCGUGGGCGCAGGAUAUUUGAAAGGCGCUGUCCCUAGUACGAGAGGACCGGGAUGGACGAACCUCUGGUGCACCAGUUGUCACGCCAGUGGCACAGCUGGGCAGCUAUGUUCGGAUCGGAUAAACGCUGAAAGCAUCUAAGCGUGAAGCCGGCCUUAAGAUAAGAUAUCCCACUGAGUCAAUCAGGUAAGACCCCUUGA